CUGACUGCACUUUCAGGGAUCAUUUCUAUAGUUCAUUACUAGAGAAGUUUCUCUGAAGGUGUAGAGCACCAAAAAAAAAAAACAAAAAAACAAAUU
Chlorocebus sabaeus (green monkey) is the source of this 96-nucleotide non-coding RNA. The record is from Rfam. NCBI's taxonomy places the organism in Eukaryota, Metazoa, Chordata, Mammalia, Primates, Cercopithecidae.